RNAcentral lists this ribosomal RNA (348 nucleotides) under Streptomyces violaceusniger. Its description in RNAcentral is "bacterial LSU rRNA". It matches the Rfam family "Bacterial large subunit ribosomal RNA", at positions 1 to 308 of the family's 2925-position model. The record is from RNAcentral. Lineage: Bacteria; Bacillati; Actinomycetota; Actinomycetes; Kitasatosporales; Streptomycetaceae.
ACAGUGGACGCGAGCAUCUGUGGCCAAGUUUUUAAGGGCGCACGGUGGAUGCCUUGGCACCAGGAACCGAUGAAGGACGUGGGAGGCCGCGAUAGGCCCCGGGGAGCUGUCAACCGAGCUUUGAUCCGGGGGUGUCCGAAUGGGGAAACCCGGCAGUCGUCAUGGGCUGUCACCCAUACCUGAACACAUAGGGUAUGUGGAGGGAACGCGGGGAAGUGAAACAUCUCAGUACCCGCAGGAAGAGAAAACAACCGUGAUUCCGGGAGUAGUGGCGAGCGAAACUGGAUGAGGCUAAACCGUAUGUGUGUGAUACCCGGCAGGGGUUGCGCGUACGGGGUUGUGGGAGUG